RNAcentral lists this ribosomal RNA (253 nucleotides) under uncultured bacterium. RNAcentral describes it as "partial 16S ribosomal RNA". It matches the Rfam family "Bacterial small subunit ribosomal RNA", at positions 524 to 776 of the family's 1533-position model. The record is from RNAcentral.
UACGUAGGGGGCAAGCGUUGUCCGGAAUUACUGGGUGUAAAGCGCGUGUAGGCGGGAGGCCAAGUCUGUGGUGAAAUCGCUCGGCUUAACUGGGCGGGGUCCAUGGAAACUGGUCACCUGGAGGUCGGUAGAGGCAAGUGGAAUUCCCGGUGUAGUGGUGAAAUGCGUAGAGAUCGGGAGGAACACCAGUGGCGAAGGCGGCUUGCUGGGCCGGACCUGACGCUGAGACGCGAAGGCGUGGGGAGCGAACGGG